RNAcentral lists this ribosomal RNA (253 nucleotides) under uncultured bacterium. Its description in RNAcentral is "partial 16S ribosomal RNA". It matches the Rfam family "Bacterial small subunit ribosomal RNA", at positions 524 to 776 of the family's 1533-position model. The record is from RNAcentral.
UACGGAGGGUGCGAGCGUUGUCCGGAAUUACUGGGCGUAAAGGGCGUGUAGGCGGCCUGCUAAGUCGAACGUGAAAUCCCCGGGCUCAACCCGGGAACUGCGUCCGAUACUGGCAGGCUUGAAUUCGGGAGAGGGAUGUGGAAUUCCAGGUGUAGCGGUGAAAUGCGUAGAUAUCUGGAGGAACACCGGUGGCGAAGGCGGCAUCCUGGACCGAGAUUGACGCUGAUGCGCGAAAGCUAGGGGAGCGAACGGG